This 1307-nucleotide ribosomal RNA is filed under the name uncultured bacterium. RNAcentral describes it as "16S ribosomal RNA". It matches the Rfam family "Bacterial small subunit ribosomal RNA", at positions 152 to 1504 of the family's 1533-position model. The record is from RNAcentral.
GGAAACUUGUGCUAAUACCGGAUAAGUCUUUACAGAGAAAGCUUUAUGCACCAAUGGAUGAGCCUGCACUUGAUUAGUUUGUUGGUGGGGUAAUGGCCUACCAAGACUGUGAUCAAUAGCUGAUUUGAGAGGAUGAUCAGCCACAUUGGGACUGAGACACGGCCCAAACUCCUACGGGAGGCAGCAGUGGGGAAUCUUGCACAAUGGAGGAAACUCUGAUGCAGCGAUGCCGCGUGAGUGAAGAAGGCCUUUGGGUUGUAAAGCUCUUUCGUCGGGGAAGAAAAUGACUGUACCCGAAUAAGAAGGUCCGGCUAACUUCGUGCCAGCAGCCGCGGUAAUACGAAGGGACCUAGCGUAGUUCGGAAUUACUGGGCUUAAAGAGUUCGUAGGUGGUUGAAAAAGUUGGUGGUGAAAUCCCAGAGCUUAACUCUGGAACUGCCAUCAAAACUUUUCAGCUAGAGUAUGAUAGAGGAAAGCAGAAUUUCUAGUGUAGAGGUGAAAUUCGUAGAUAUUAGAAAGAAUACCAAUUGCGAAGGCAGCUUUCUGGAUCAUUACUGACGCUGAGGAACGAAAGCAUGGGUAGCGAAGAGGAUUAGAUACCCUCGUAGUCCAUGCCGUAAACGAUGUGUGUUAGACGUUGGAAAUUUAUUUUCAGUGUCGCAGCGAAAGCGAUAAACACACCGCCUGGGGAGUACGACCGCAAGGUUAAAACUCAAAUGAAUUGACGGGGACCCGCACAAGUAGUGGAGCAUGUGGUUUAAUUCGAAGAUACGCGCAGAACCUUACCAACACUUGACAUGUUCGUCGCGACUCUAAGAGAUUAGAGUUUUCGGUUCGGCCGGACGAAACACAGGUGCUGCAUGGCUGUCGUCAGCUCGUGUCGUGAGAUGUUGGGUUAAGUCCCGCAACGAGCGCAACCCUCACUUUUAGUUGCCAUCAUUUAGUUGGGCACUCUGAAAGAACUGACAGUGAUAAGCUGGAGGAAGGUGGGGAUGACGUCAAGUCCUCAUGGCCCUUACGUGUUGGGCUACACACGUGCUACAAUGGUAUCUACAACAGGAAGCAAGACGGCGACGUUUAGCAAAUCCUUAAAAGAUACCUCAGUUCGGAUUGCACUCUGCAACUCGAGUGCAUGAAGCUGGAAUUACUAGUAAUCGUGGAUCAGCGUGCCGCGGUGAAUGCGUUCCCGGGUCUUGUACACACCGCCCGUCACACCAUGGGAGUUGGUUCUACCUUAAGGCAAGGUUUAAAACCCUUGACCACGGUAUAGUCAGCGACUGGGGUGAAGUCAUAACAAGGUAGCCGUA